UUUCCGUAGGUGAACCUGCGGAAGGAUCAUUACAGAGUUCAUGCCCUCACGGGUAGAUCUCCCACCCUUGAAUAUUUAUACCUUAGUUGCUUUGGCAGGCCGUGGAAACACCAUGGGCUCCGGCUUAUGCGUGCCUGCCAGAGGAAACAAACUCUGUUUUCAGUGAUGUCUGAGUACUAUAUAAUAGUUAAAACUUUCGACAACGGAUCUCUUGGUUCUG
Molecule: unclassified non-coding RNA, 220 nt
Filed under: plant metagenome
Description: partial contains small subunit ribosomal RNA, internal transcribed spacer 1, and 5.8S ribosomal RNA
Source: RNAcentral